This 253-nucleotide ribosomal RNA is filed under the name uncultured bacterium. Its description in RNAcentral is "partial 16S ribosomal RNA". It matches the Rfam family "Bacterial small subunit ribosomal RNA", at positions 524 to 776 of the family's 1533-position model. The record is from RNAcentral.
UACGUAGGUGGCAAGCGUUGUCCGGAUUUACUGGGCGUAAAGAGCGCGCAGGCGGUCGUUCAAGUCGCGUGUGAAAGCCCCCGGCUCAACUGGGGAGGGUCACGCGAUACUGAUCGACUCGAAGGCAGGAGAGGGUAGUGGAAUUCCCGGUGUAGUGGUGAAAUGCGUAGAUAUCAGGAGGAACACCGGUGGCGAAGGCGCUCUGCUAGGCCGCAACUGACACUGAGGGACGAAAGCUAGGGGAGCGAAUGGG